Meleagris gallopavo (turkey) is the source of this 2476-nucleotide non-coding RNA. The record is from RefSeq and is a predicted model, not a curated record. Lineage: Eukaryota; Metazoa; Chordata; Aves; Galliformes; Phasianidae.
ACCCCUUUCCAGACCUCAUUUAAGGGUUGACAGUGGAGGUAAGGGCUCCUCCUAGGAGAUCCCUGUAUACCUCAGGCCUUCUGGAGAACGACUAUAGGAAGCUAUCUAUGCAAUGCAAGGACUUUGUAGUGGGGGUACUGGACCUGUGCAGAGACACUGAAGAAGUAGAAGCAAUUCUGAAUGGAGAUGUGAACAUACAUCUGUGCCCUGAGCAUCAUCGGCCAAGUCUGAGCAGAAUUAAACUGGCGAUUAAGUACGAAGUCAAAAAGGCAGUUGACCUGCUGAUGUCUUUGGGACAGAAAGUCAGAUGGGGAUGAGUACAAACUCCCAAGAAAAGAAGAUGAUUCAGUAUUUCAAAUUGAAGGCAUUUUUAAAAUCUUCCAAUUUGAGCAUUUCCAUGAGUAGUGACCCAAGAUGCAUCUCUUCCAUGCAGUAUUCUUGUCACAUGCCUGUAGAUAUCCAUAUUUAAUAAUUUUUAACUAUCUACUUCAUGGUGAGGGGACUUACCCUACAAGAGAGUCUCUCCAUCAACUCUGGGAGUGAAACUCUGUGUUGGAGGUAUUAGAAUUGGAGUACUGUAUCAGCAUAGUCUUUCCUUGUCAUUUGGAAAACUAAUUCUCUCGAGAGAAGAGGUUAUAGCAUUUUAAAACUCUAUGCCCACUGUCAUUUGCUGUAUAGGUACCCAAGGGAAUUCGUUUUUUGAUAGCUUUUUGUUCUGGCAUGCUUUCAGAUGAAUAGGUAAAUAAGGAUUUCCAAGUGGUUCUGAUUCUGUAGAGAUAAGAAAAACCUGGAAUGCUGGAGGCUGGGACUUUCACUUCAUUUGCCUGUCAGAUAAAUAGACUUAUUUAUGCAUGUGAAAUGAGAAACUUGGCAUUAGCAACAAAUCUCUUCAUAAAACAUCCAGCAUAUUGGAAUAUGGAACUGGAGAUUCCUCAGAAACACCUCUGAACUCAUUACUCUUUAGGGAAAAAAAAAAAUGUUUAGCACAAAAAAGAGUACCUGCUCUUGAAUAAAGGAAGUGAAAUUGAAACUAAACUAUGGAGAAGUUUCAAUUAAAGAAUUUCUUUAAACGCUACAUUUUCUAGUUUAAUACCUCAAAAAUAGCACUUAAUUUUAAAAAACAUGGAUUGAAAAUAUAAGCGAGAACAAUAACAAUGAAAUCUUUCUCGGUUGCUAAAAGGAUUAUUAACUUUGUGUUUUUCACUCGGCACUGAAGAUUAUUUCUGUCAGUAGGAGAAUUGCAAUUGAAAUGGUCCUGGCAGCUUUAUUUCCACCAUUAUUUUUGUUUUCUAUUAGACUAAUUUGUUUUUAUUUGGCUUUAUUUUGUGUCUGUUUAAUAUUUUGUGUCUAGUCAAACCCAGUUUCCAUUUGCAUUGCUCAUUCUAAUGGGACUACGCUGCCUUUUCUGUAGCUGUGCACUGCAUAGGUGCUUUGGGCAGUUAUGCCAGCACUGGGCUGUCUGUCCUUCACUGCCUUAGCUUUACUGCUUGUCAAUUCUGCAAAGUGAGAUCCCAAUCCCAUUAAUGUGCUCGCUGAUUUAGCAGAGAGCAGAAAAUCUAUCCCAAAUUAGAUAACAAGCAAUGCCAUGCUUGUUUUUAUAUGGCAGACUGAGUUGCAUGAAAGGUGUGUGGUUGCAAACAGUAGCUAUGUUAAGGUUUAAAAUGCUAAAAAUCAGGAUUUGAGAUUAGGUAACUCGAGUUAAUCAGCAAGUGGAUCCAGAUAUUGAGUUUCCAUAACAUUGAGGAAUAUGUGAAUGUCUUGGGAUUUGAUGCAAGCGGGUAUUUCCCCACUCUCAAAUUGCUCUAAUAAGUUUUCUAAGCUAAGAAGGUCCACGUAAGAGGUUUUCCAAAAGGCAUAUUUUAUUACUAACACCAUAUUGACUACUUUUAUUGUAUCUCUUUUAAGUAACUGCGACUGAAGCUGCACAAUUAAUUUUUAUUUUGUUCUGAUAGUUCUAGGUCAUUUGGGCUCUGACUGCAAAUAAAAACCUUCUCCCUUUACUAUAAGGUUUAUACCUGUUUGACUCGAUACCAGAUCUAAAUAUACACUGAGGCAGUCACAAAAAAAAAAAAAAGUCAUAUGCAGGAUGAGUGAGAUCCUCAUGAAUAUUUGUGAUACCAUUAGACAGUCAAAUGAACCCCAAGGAGAGAGGAAAAGCUGCAGCAAUCCUCAGGGCAGGGACGUUGCCUUGCUUCAUGUUCUAUCUGCAGCAGCCCACAUAGAGUGAGUUGAUUUCCUAUGGUCAGAUCCCCUUGGUGUUCAUCUGCUGAAUUUUCUUUCACCCGAGUUGAGCUAGGGACUCCUGAAAUUAUUUUUUGCUCUUAGGUGGAGGAAUUAGGACUGGCUGAUGUGCUUACCCCUGUAAGGCUAUUCUGGUGCAAGUGGUUUUAAAAAAUGUGGCCUGUGGCCAUGGCUAGCAGUUAGCUGUAACUGAAGUGUGUCUCUCUGGCAAAGAGGACGCCAUCCCUUAGCAUGG